Molecule: non-coding RNA, 73 nt
Organism: Strongylocentrotus purpuratus (purple sea urchin)
Lineage: Eukaryota; Metazoa; Echinodermata; Echinoidea; Camarodonta; Strongylocentrotidae
Source: Rfam
GACAUGAUGGCUCAGUGGAUAGAGCGCCUGCUUCAUGAACGGGAGGUCUUGGGUUCGAACCCUGGCCGAGUCA